UGGGAACGUGCCUUUUGGUUCGGAACAACCCAGGGAAACUUGGGCUAAUACCGGAUAAGCCCUUACGGGGAAAGAUUUAUCGCCAAAAGAUCGGCCCGCGUCUGAUUAGCUAGUUGGUGGGUAAUGGCCCACCAAGGCUACGAUCAGUAGCUGGUCUGAGAGGAUGAUCAGCCACAUUGGGACUGAGACACGACCCAAACUCCUACGGGAGGCAG
Molecule: ribosomal RNA, 215 nt
Filed under: uncultured bacterium
Lineage: Bacteria
Description: partial 16S ribosomal RNA
Rfam family: Bacterial small subunit ribosomal RNA
Source: RNAcentral